Molecule: ribosomal RNA, 851 nt
Filed under: Salmonella enterica
Lineage: Bacteria; Pseudomonadati; Pseudomonadota; Gammaproteobacteria; Enterobacterales; Enterobacteriaceae
Description: partial 23S ribosomal RNA
Rfam family: Bacterial large subunit ribosomal RNA
Source: RNAcentral
AGCGUCUGGAAAGGCGCGCGAUACAGGGUGACAGCCCCGUACACAAAAGCGCAUGUGCUGUGAGCUCGAUGAGUAGGGCGGGACACGUGGUAUCCUGUCUGAAUAUGGGGGGACCAUCCUCCAAGGCUAAAUACUCCUGACUGACCGAUAGUGAACCAGUACCGUGAGGGAAAGGCGAAAAGAACCCCGGCGAGGGGAGUGAAAAAGAACCUGAAACCGUGUACGUACAAGCAGUGGGAGCACAGGUUUACCUGUGUGACUGCGUACCUUUUGUAUAAUGGGUCAGCGACUUAUAUUCUGUAGCAAGGUUAACCGAAUAGGGGAGCCGGAGGGAAACCGAGUCUUAAUUGGGCGUUAAGUUGCAGGGUAUAGACCCGAAACCCGGUGAUCUAGCCAUGGGCAGGUUGAAGGUUGGGUAACACUAACUGGAGGACCGAACCGACUAAUGUUGAAAAAUUAGCGGAUGACCUGUGGCUGGGGGUGAAAGGCCAAUCAAACCGGGAGAUAGCUGGUUCUCCCCGAAAGCUAUUUAGGUAGCGCCUCGUGAAUUCAUCUCCGGGGGUAGAGCACUGUUUCGGCUAGGGGGCCAUCCCGGCUUACCAACCCGAUGCAAACUGCGAAUACCGGAGAAUGUUAUCACGGGAGACACACGGCGGGUGCUAACGUCCGUCGUGAAGAGGGAAACAACCCAGACCGCCAGCUAAGGUCCCAAAGUCAUGGUUAAGUGGGAAACGAUGUGGGAAGGCCCAGACAGCCAGGAUGUUGGCUUAGAAGCAGCCAUCAUUUAAAGAAAGCGUAAUAGCUCACUGGUCGAGUCGGCCUGCGCGGAAGAUGUAACGGGGCUAAACCAU